CUAUAGCUCUGGAGUUUUUGCAGAUUUUCAAAUAAAACUCAGAGAUUCCUUGUAUGACUCUCUAAAUCUCUCUUUUGUGGUAUUUCUGGAUCCUUACCAAGGCAGUGAUGGUAUAUGCCUUCUCUCAAGAUAUGUGGUAUUUGUGGUAUAAGGCAUAGUGAUAUUGCCUUCUCUCUCACCCUACUCUAAUAAGGCUUUAAUAUCUGUAGCUCAUAGGUGGGAGACAGCUAAUACAUACUUACAAGACAUUUAUUGCAUAGUCAAACCAUGGAUCCAGAGAAACAAGUCAAUAAGUCAAAUCAAGAUGUGCAUGUGUGGCGAAUGAAUGGUGUAUGGUGAUGAUGGUAAUAACAAUGGUGGAAGUCUAAUUCUACUUUUGCUCUUUUGAGGGGAUACAUACCUUCCUUGCUUUUUGAAACUUUAUGAGGAGAAUGAGAUGCUCUUCUUUUUCUUUCCUCUCAGGUGGGUAUCCUGUAUCCCUAAUUCUACUGUCGGACACUUGUCCAUUUUUACCUCUUGUCUCACUUUUUCUUUCUUUCGAGGUUCCGGGCAGUUGCCCCUUUUUAUUUCCUCGUUUAUUUUUUUUCUUCUCUUUUCUCUUUUUUUAGAGCACUCAUCUCUUGAGAUAAUAUAGCAAGUGGUAGUAGCAAGAUAACUUGAGCAUUUAUUUCACAAGGGAAAACAGAAAUAUUUUUGGCUAUUCUCUCCCAGAUUAGGAGUAGAAUAUUUUUAGGUGGUUCUGGAGAUGGACAUGGAUGGAUAUAUGUGGAUGGUACUUCCGGAGUAGAAGUAGCAUAUAUGAGUGAAUGUGCAAGUGAAUCUUGAUUUAACCACAUGACAAGCUCCUAAGGGUCUACACAGCUUGACCACACUCAAUGCUAAUAAGCAGUAAAUAAUAAAUGUGUGGCUCAAAGUCUAGCAAGCAUGUAUAUAUGGUUGUGGUAGGAAUUUAAACUCUCAUCAUACAGGAACUCAUCAUGCAAUAUUUUACAGAUUUUUCAAAGAUAAAAUUCUCCAGAAUUCUAGCAUCUAUAGGAACAGAUAAACAGCAGCUCAACCUUCCCAUAUCAUAUCCGUUAACAACUUAGAUUUCAGAUCAAGUUUUCAUUCCACAAGUUUAGAUCUAGAGCAAGCUUUAAAUUAUAACAGUUAUGUCUAAACUUGAGAGAGAACUUCAAAUUUGCAAAUUAGGCAGAGCAACUAUUCAUCAUAUCCAUGCUAGAGUUUUAUUAUUAAGAUUUAGAUUAGCAUAGCCACUUUAUUUAUUUAUUAAACACACUAAGCAAAAGAUAUAUAUAUAAGCACAAAAUCUUUAUUUGGUUUUUCAUAGGUUAUGUAUUUUAAUAUUCUAAUAUAAUAUAAGUAUAGAGAUAGGUAGAAAUACUUAGCGAGAUAAAUGGGGGUGCCCUUCCCCAAGCUGAAUUUUGACGUAAAUUCUCUUGAUGUAGCUAGCAGGUGGCAGAGGUGUAUUUGGAAGUCAGCAGCAUUCCCACAGCGAUUAGAAUGUCCUCCGUCUGCUAGUCUUCUUGAUUCUUAAAUUCUGUGGAGCUCAUAUAGACAACAAAACUUUUGGAACUAAUUAAGUGUUAGCAUAAAUAUCUAGCCUUCAUCAUGUUGAGCUUCCCCAAUAAAUAUUACUCCCUGUUUUUAUAUUUUUAUUUUAUAAGGCAGAAAAGAAAUAUUUAUUUUAUUUUUAUGCCACCACAGUGAAGGUACUUAUGGGUUUUAUGCCACUCGUAUACUCACAUGGGGCUUAGUAUUUUUUAACAUUUUUAUUUUCUUUUCAAGAUAGCAUGAUUAACUAAUAAUCUAUUUAGGGAAAGUAAAUAAUUAAAAGGAAAAGGGAAUGCAGGAAGGAUAAAUAUGGAUAACUACCGAUCUUACCUUUCGGCGAUGGUUCAAUGUUUUAAGUCUUCUUAACAAGACUUCUCACCGUGUUCAUUCUUUAGGUGCGUCAUUUGAUUCAGGUGCAGACCUUGACGUCUGCACCUCUUGAUACGGUGUCACCCAUGUUCUUCGUUUGCCCAGCAGUUCGAAGUGUGGCGUUGGCAGUAACCUACUCAGUGUGUUUGUGCUCGUAGAUCCAGGUCCUUCACUUGGUAGAGUCUGAGAGUUAUAGAACUCCUCCGUGUUUUGCUCGAAGUGUACCUGCUCAUAGAGACAAGGCAGAGAUCAAGUGCAUGGGUCCUGUUGGUGGAAAACACCAACAGAACCUAAAGUGUAUUUGUUCUUCUCUAACCCUAAGCAUAGUGAGCAAGACAAAGUUGAUGGAUGAAAAGUUCAUGAGUGUAGCACUUAUAACAUUUGUCAGAUCAGAUUCGCUCAACCUUAUGGAAAGAUAAUCUAUCUAUGUAUAUGUCUUUUUCUUUAUAUUUGUCAAUGAUUGAAUGUGUAACAUUUUAGCUCAUAUGUUUAGGAGUGUGGGAUCAUGGAGGUUGUACUAAGAACAAGGAUUAAAGGACUAAACAUGUUGAAUCAGUUGGGUUGGUUAGUCUAGAGUUGUAAAUCAUAUAUGUUUGUCUCUUUUAUUUAUAUGAACGCCAAAACCAAGGAGAAGCUUAUAAAAGUGAUAGUCAAGUACCUUAAGAUGUUACCUUGCUUGAAGAGUGAUGGUACAGUAUCACCUUGUGGAAGCUUUCCUUUCUUAGCGGUUGUGCAUCGUGUUUGUGGCACCCUCCAUGGAUCAUCUCUCUAUGAUGAAUGAGCUAUGUCCUUCUUGUGCAAAUUGUUAAACUUCAUGUGUCACUCUCUUCAUCUCUGAUGUGAGUUUAUCUCAGGACUUCCCAAAUCGAUAUUGAAAGUUUUUCUGCAGGGGUUAGUCCGACAAAAAUAUACCAAUGUCUACACAAGCAGUUUUUUAGUUCAAUAACCAAACUAGACUCCAUGUCUAAUCAGAUUAAGGAAGGCUGUUUAACCUAAGCACCAUGCUUAAUUUAAAAGCCAAUAGAAGUAUGUGCAGUACUUCCAAACUAACACUUACUAGUAAAUAGACAAAGGUAACAUGACAACAUUUAUAGAGAUCUACUCAAGUGGAGAUGUAGUAGUGUGAUUAGUCUUUAACAAAUUGAGCAUGUCUUAAAGGUAGGGACAACCAACAUAGCAACAUGGCAAAGGAUGUUUUUAUAUAAAGUACUCCCCCAAGCUUGAAUUUUGCAGAAUUCAAGUUUGGUUGAAUUUAAUUCAAUGUUGUAUGAUGAUUGGUUGGACAUACCUUGUGCUUGUCAUUCAUCUGAUCUUCUUGCUCCAAUCCUGUAAAGGUUAGUGACAAGAAUACCCGAAGGAAUAUUUUUACAAUUAUCCUUAUAUGUUCAAUACACAAGGUAAUGUUGUAAAUGAUUAAAAGCUCAUGUUACGAUUUGAUCAGUGCUUAUUUUAGGACACUAAGCUUGUUCUUGGGAAACCAUCAAUUUAUGUCAGCGAAGUGGUUUCCCUUCCAACGCUGACCUAUAUCAAGAUCAACUCAACGAGAUCUGCAAUAUUUAUUAUAGACAUAUGCAUCGACAACCGCCCUUUUAAAGUUUUUAUAAAUAGAAAGGAAGAGGGGGUUGGAGAUCUCAAAUGUGGUGAUGUUGGAGAGACCAAUAGAUUGGGAAGAUGUUGCAUAUGAGCAUGGAGUAAACAAAGUGGCUAUGAAAUAAAUUCCAUGCUCAUUAAUGUUAUCUUCGUCUCCAAUCUGAAUGUUCAGAGUUUCUCCUGGAUUAGUCUCACCUAUGUCCUCUUCUGUAGCUGGGUGAAUCUCAUCUUCAAAGGGUGUCAAGAACUCACCAUUUGAAGUUGAGCCAAAUUCAGAAUUCAUUAAGGCUUCUUCCUUAUCCAUCCAUUCUACACAUUCUAGCCAGUUAGAACUUGUGAUUAGGAAAGGGGAGGUGUUAGAAUUUUCAAUAUGGCUUAGCUCUCCUUCACUUGAUAUGUCAUCCUCGACUUCUUCAUAACAGGAACCAGGACAUUCUCUAAGAGAACCAUUAUUGCGAGGAUUCAAAUUAUCCUGCUUGAAGGUCUCUUAUGGAACCAGAAGUCUAAACCAUCAGCAUCUGAAAGAUUUAAGGUCGGAAUUCCUUCCUCCCUUGGAGAAUUUUGGGGUAUUGAUGGUUUAGGAUCGAUAGCUAAAGUUUGGAAUUGAAAUGGUUGUGAUCUGGCUAUCGAAACUUCUUCUUCUAGUCUAGGAACUGGUUCUGUCUCUUUCUCAGGGAUAUAAAAGCUAGGAGACUUUCCACUUAAUAAAUCAAUCAAAUUCCAAGCUUCACUAGUAGGUAGGUGAUAGAAGGAUCCUCUAGAGGCUGUAUUCAAGGUUUGCUUAUUUUCCCCACUAAGGCCCUCAAAAAAGUGAAUUAGAAGAACUUCUUCUGGAAUAGAAAGUUUUGGGCCAGUGAGAGUAAGGUUAAUAAAGCGGUCCCAUGAUUUGUCAAGAGAUUCUUCUUCCAGUUGUCUAAAAGAAAUAAUCUCACGCUGAAGUUCCGCCACUUUGGAGAUUGGAAAAUAUUUAGAAAGAAAACUACUAUAUAACUCCUUCCAAUCUCCAUGAACACUCCCUAUUUUGAGUUUGUACCAAUGUCUAGCUUUUCCCGUUAAAGAGAACAGAAAGAGCUUCCAUUUAAGGGUCUCAUCGGACAUUCCUUCUAUGCGAAGGAGGUCACAGACUCGAUAAAACUCUCUUAGGUGUGUGUAUGGGUUUUCAUCACCUUCUCCUGAGAAAGGUUGUUUUUGAACAAAUUCUAUGUAUUCGGGGUCUAUCUCAAAACUAGAUGCUAUGAUAGGCUUUGAAGAUUUUGGUGGUUCGAGAUGUGUGCCCGUAGGUCUAUGAAAUUCAUAGAUAGACAUGUUUGAAUUCAUGAUAGACCAGAGAUCAAGGAUUAGAUAAGAAGAAAGAUUAGCAGAGAUGAGACAAAGGAUAAAAGGAAAAUAUUUUUUUUUAUUUUUUUUAGAAAAUGAUUAAGCUAGUUCGUAGUCAACUCAGCAACCGUUUCCCCGGCAACGGCGCCAAAAAUGCUUGUUGACACUUGCUAACACCAUUUGAAUACUAGGUUGUCAUCCCCAGCAUGGCACUAGAGUGUACUAUGGUAUUUAUACGCACACAGAUAAUCCACAAGCGCACGGAUACCGUUGAAGCUUUUACCCGGUUAAAGGUUUUAUCGUAUCCAUAGGGAAACGGGAGAACUGAUCUACGCUCUAACUUAACCAAGAAAGAUAGAUAAGUGUAAAUAGGAAAGAUGGUAGAAUUGAAUAAGAACAAUAUUAAAGGUAAGAUAACAGUGAGUGAUAAUAUGGGAAUAGAGAGUAGAGCAAUUCUAGUAUAUGGGCGAUGGUAGCAGAAUAGAGAGGAUAACUAUGGUUUCUCUACUUCAAAGGAGUAUGUCUAUGUCUGGGACGAACCACGUGAUAAGAGUACACCACAAAGGAUGCUUAUCCUUAGGCCGAUAAACCCUACCCGUCCUGCUAACGAGAGGUGGACUACAGAGGACCAACGUAACUGUCACCUACGCGGCCUACCACAUGAUCCAGCUAGACAGGGGAUAUCCACAAGUAAUCUAGAUCUAAGCACCUCGCUUACACCUAUACUACAACUUUCACCUAUAGCGUCCUAUAGAUUAAAGUACUCAAAAGAGUUGUGAACCAGAACAUACAAGAUUAGUAAUUGCAUAAUGAAUUAGAAGUAGAUUACCAGAAUCAUCCCAUGAGCAAGCUUGAUUAGAGCUUGAUCAUGACGAAGUACAACCGGAGGAAGAACCGAUAGGCCGGCCUCUCCUCUAAUCCUCCUUCGCUCUCCAUCUUGCUACUAUCUAGAUCUACUCUAGUUUAGAGAAGAGAGGAGAGCUCUCAACUCUAAACCCUAGCUUUUGCUCUGUCAAUGAAUAAUGAAUAAUGAUCGAGGGGUGCCUCCUCCAGGGGCCAGGGGGUCUGGUUAUAUAGUCUUUUCAGAUGAAUCUAGGCCGUCGGAUCAAACCGACAUUGAUCGUGUGGUUUUCCUUGAAGUAUUAGGUCGGUGGAGCAUGAUCCGCGAAGUUGAAGCUGAUUGGUUACUGUAGCUGGGCGGGCACCCAAGGGACUUGGGUGGGCGCCCUGCGCCCGGGCCCGAUCGACCUCCCGUUCGUUCCCGUGGCUUCUGGAGUCUUCUAGAUGGUAGAAAAUUGCGCGACACGUUAAUAUCUCUAUGUAAACCCGACGUGUGGGCCUUUCUUUCAUAUUUCCUGAUAACCCCCUGCAGAAAUAGACAAACACCAAAACUCGUGGAAUUCUGUCGGAUAAAACACUAAGUUUAGAUGUAGGUUGUAUUUGGAUCCUUUUCUUUGUUUAUUUGCUUAUUAUAUUUGUUACUUAAGGACCAUCAACAAUGUACAGGAGUUGAAUUCAGGAAAUGUAGACACCAUCAUCACCGAAGCACCCCGGUAUGGAAGCCUCGAGUAGGCUAGCGCCAUACCCCUAUCGAGGCUUAUUCUAAUGCCUACACCCUGUAACCUAGGUCUCCCCUUGGAACUAUAAAAGAGGAUACUGAGGAUGACACGAGAGGAGAGAUAUACAACGCAACUCACAGAGCACAAUUCUCACACACCACCAUCGGCUAGGACUUAGAACUCUUAGCCACAUCCACUUGUAUUCACCGCUAUACAAGCACUUAGGUGCAAGAUAAUACAAAGUCUCCCCCCACUGGACGUAGGGCCUUCUCUUGACCGAACUAGGAAAAAUCUUUGUGUCUUUCUUGUAUCACCAUCCAGAAAAGGGAGCAUGCACACAAAUUCACUCGUUGGUGUCACCCCCUGGGGGCAAAACACCGACAGUUGGUGCGCCAAGUAGGGGUCCUGCGUGUUACCACCGACUUCCCAUCUCUUUCUGGAUGGCCACUCACGUCUCGCCGAUCCCACGCUCCAUGGUGAUUUGGUUUGGGAGCCUUGAGUUCAUGUCCACUGGCUUCGGCUAUGACAUAAUUCUGCUCUCAAUCAAAGGACCUGGAGAGGCUCGUGUCGCACCCACACGAUCAAAGGCUUCGAGACGGCCUCAACGCCACGCUUCCCCGCCCAAGAGGAGGCGUGGCCAGCAUCGCCACCGCCCCACCGCCGCUACAUGAUCAUCGCCUCAUACGGGACAGGCAACGGUGGAGGAGCCGAUAGCUCCACGUGCCGAGACCACAGUCACAACGGUUAGACACCAGAACAGCCGUGCGACGGCACCAGGGGGCAGCGUACCACACGCACCCUCACCAACAUCUGCGCUGCUACCUCAUGGUCUGUUCGCCACAAGGCAGAUGCUCCCGUUUGGCUUGGGCAAUGCCGCGACGUCGCUCGCCAGGGCAAUAUGUCCAGACGCCGAGACGUGCGUCAAGCGACCAUUGGUCCUCCCACGCAACACAGAGACAUGACAGCAGGCUUAGCUGAGCAUUUAGGUUUUCCCUAGAUACGCGGGCUUCGGCGCCUAGGACCUGGGCGAUACACCAUCGCCACGCUCAGGCAACAGCUGGCGGAGGAGGGGUGCGGAUGUUUCUACACCGCCGAGCCAGACCCCAAUUCUAAAUCCGAUAGCUACGACCCUACCAGGGAAUGCUUCAACAUCGACGGAGCCGUGGCCACUGCGGACGACACGGAGGAUGCCGCUGCCAGUGCCCGUGCUCCCGCUGCAGCGGGAGAUCCCAUGACACCUGGGAAUGACGGGUAGGCACACCCACUGCCUUAGGACGACAAAGCCAUGCAACUUGUGCAGCUAUGAGAGUUGAAAGCCAAGCUAGACGAGGAUCACGAGCACCUCAGCCAGCUCGAGCAGGCCCUCGAGCGAGACCAACCGCACCUGCACGGCGGGGGCGCGCGUGGUCGUGCUCGAGAAGUGUACCGACAGAUUGUCGAGGAUGAAGAACCUGAGCUGCUCGUCAGUCGCUUCCCUCAUGCCAGUCAGAACAUCAUGGCAGCGACCAUGCUGCUACGUAACAUGCCUGAGCCCUUGAACUCCCGGGCACGACCCAUUCAAGACGAGGUGCAGGGUCUGCUCCACGUGGUGGCAGCCCAACAAGCUGAGAGCUCAGCUUCUCGACGUCGAGGGGCAGCCAUGGAAAAGCGCGUUGAGCCAGCCCAAAACGAGAGGGAGGUAUCCGUUCAUCAGGAGCCGUCACCUCGAGGUAAGAAAACAGUACCCAUGCAGGAGUGCCUCAUCGAUAAUCAACGCCUGCACGAUGCUCGACAUGACAUCAACGAGCAUCGACGCUGCAGACAUGGAGAUGUCGAGGAGAGGGGGUAUAGCACCCACCAUGGCGGACGCUACGAUAGUGACAAAAUCGGAUGGCUCCAGAGCCACCGGGCCCUCGAGUCUUCAAUAGGGCGAUCCGCAACACGCCACAGCCAAGUCCGUUCUGACCCCCGACUAGCAUCACCAAGCAUAACGGUGAAACCAAGCCAGAGCUGUGGCUGGCAGACUUCCAGCUUGCAUGCCAGUUGGGAGGCACUCGAGGAGACGAUCGAGCCAUCAUCCGGCAGCUACCGCUCUUCCUCUCUGACACCGCUCGCAGGUGGCUUGAGGAGCUCCCCACCAACCAAAUCCACAACUGGACUGACUUGGUUCGGGUGUUUUAAGGGAACUUCAAGGGGACCUACAUACAACCUGGUAAUUCAUGGCACCUCAGCAAGUGCAAGAAGAAAUCUAGAGGAUCUCUCCAAGAGUAUGCUCGGCACUUCUCGAAGCAACGCACAGAGCUCCCACACAUCCCCAACCACGACGUCAUUCUGGCUUUUGUCUCAGGCACCACUUGUAACGAUUUGGUGCGAGAAUUGGGUCGAAAUCGUCCGCAGACCGUCGACGAGCUGAUGGACGUAGUGGUGAACUACGCCGCUGGCGAGGAGGCGAUCAACGCAUUCUUCAACCAUGAGAACAACAAGGGGAAGGUGCCAGGAGACAACGACGAGGGCCCUAGCAGGGGGCCCAAAAAGAACAAGAAUAAGAAGAAGACGUGGCAGAUCAUGCGGGAGGCCCUUGACAAUGAUUUCAUCGCCGAUGUCGAACGCAAGAAACCUUGAGGCCCCCCAGAGGGGGCCGUCUUCGACAAGAUGCUCAAGGAGCCCUACCCUUAUCACAAGGGAGGGGGCCAAUCACAAGCUCGAGGAUUGUCGCAUGCUGAAGAAGCACUUCGAUAGCCUGGGGCUAAAGAAGGACGACCAGAGGAGGGAUAAAAGCGACGACAAGGGCGAAAAUAAAAACGAUGAGGGGUUCCCCGCCGUCCAUGAUUGUUACAUGAUCUACGACGUGCCUUCGACACAACUCACCUCGAGACAGCGUAAUAGGGAGCGCCGCGUCUUCGCGGCAAGGAUGGCAGUGCCACAAUAUCUCAAUUGGUCGAGCACCCCCAUCACCUUCGACCGCGAUGACCACCUCGACAAGGUUGUCACUCCCGGCGUCUACCCGCUCGUCGUCGACCCCAUCAUCGUCAACACUCAGCUCUCGAAGGUGUUGAUGGACGGUGGCAGCAGCCUUAAUAUCAUCUACCUUGAGACCCUCAAUCUCCUAGGUGUUGAGAGAGCCUAGCUCUAGCCUAGCGCAGGCGGCUUCCAUGGUGUUGUACCAGGGAAGAAGGCAUUGCCGGUGGGUCGAAUCGACCUGCCGGUCUGUUUUGGCACGGCGGCCAACUUCAGGAAGGAAAUUCUCACUUUCGAAGUGGUGGGUUUUCGAGGCACUUACCAUGCCAUCAUUAGACGCCUAGGAUAUGUCAAGUUCAUGGCAAUCCCCAACUACACUUACCUGAAGCUGAAGAUGCCCGGGCCCAAGAGAGUUAUCACCAUCAGCUCCUCUUACGAGCACGCAUACGAAUGCGACGUUGAGUGCAUCGAAUACGGGGAAGCUAUCGAGAGCUCUGCCGAGCUUGCCUCAGGGCUCGAGGCCCUCGCCGCUGAGGCUCUAGAGCCUAAGCGCUGUGCGGGCAGCUUUGAGGCAGCAAAGGGCACGAAGAAAAUCCUGCUCAACCUCAACAGUUUCGACGACAGGGUGCUGACGAUCAGCACCGACCUCGACCCCAAAUAGGAAGCCAUGCUCGUCAACUUUCUCCGUGCAAACGCCAACAUGUUUGCAUGGAGUCCCUCGGACAUGCCUGGCAUACCGAGGGAAGUCACCGAGCACUCCUUGGAGAUUCGAGCUGGUUCCAAGCCUGUGAAGCAACGAUUGCGCCGCUUCGAUGAGGAGAAGCGCAAGAUCAUUGGCGAGGAGGUCCACAACCUUUUGACAGCCGAAUUCAUCAAGGAGGUUCAUCAUCCCAACUGGUUAGCAAACCCUGUAUUAGUUAAGAAAAAAAAUGGGGAAAUGAGGAUGUGUGUCGAUUAUACCAGUUUAAAUAAAGCAUAUCCUAAAGUUCCCUUUCCUUUGCCAUGCAUCGAUCAAAUUGUUGAUUCAAUAGCGAGAUGUGAAACCCUUUUGUUCCUUGAUGAUUAUUCCGGUUGCCAUCAAAUAAUAAUGAAAGAAUCUGACCAGCUUGCGACCUCCUUCAUCACGCCCCUUGGGAUGUACUGUUACAUAACUAUGCCCUUUGGGCUUCGAAACACCGGGGCGACGUACCAACGGUGCAUGCUCCAUGUUUUUGGAGAUCACAUAGGGUCGAUGGUCGAGGCAUACAUCAACGGCAUCGUCGUCAAGUCAAAGAGACAGGGCGACCUGAUUCAAGACCUCGAGAUCGCCUUUGGCUGUUUGCGCACGAAUAAAAUUAAGCUCAACCCCAAGAAAUGUGUCUUUGGCGUGCCUCGAGGCAUGCUUUUAGGGUAUAUAGUCUCCUAGUGCGGCAUCGAGGCUAACCCCGAAAAGGUCUUCGCUUUUGCCAAGAUGGGACCAAUUCAAGACGUCAAGGGCAUACAGAAAGUUACAGGCUGCCUGGCGGCACUGAGCAGUUUUAUUUCAAGGCUGGGGGAAAAUGCAUUGCCAUUGUACCGGCUCCUGAAGAAAGUCAAGCACUUCACCUAGACGAUCGAGGCUGAGGAUGCCCUCGACAUCCGAUCCUGGUGCCUCCUUGACCGGCAAAACCUCUGCUCCUGUACAUCGCGGCAACGACCUAGGUCGUUAGCGCGGCCGUGGUGGUCGAAAGGCCAGAGGAAGGGCAUGCGCUACCAAUUCAGCGGCCGGUCUGCUUCAUCAGCGAGGUGCUCUUAGAGACAAAGGUACGAUACCCCCAGGUUAAAAAAUUUAUUUAUGCUGUGAUUCUCGCCCGACGCAAGCUGCAACACUACUUUCUCGGCCAUCCGAUCGCGGUGGUCUUGUCCUUCCCGCUGGAUGAGAUCAUCCAGAAUCGAGAGGCCACUGGGAGGAUUGCCAAGUGGUCGGUCGAGCUCAUGGGGUAGACCCUCACCUAUGCGCCUCGCAAAGCCAUCAAAUCUCAGUCCAGUUUGUGUGUUUUUUCCCACUGUUUCCAUCAAUUUUUUUCUGAUCGAUUUUGAUAUAUGGAACAUCAAAAUCGGAGUUCGUAUGCGAAAGUUAUGGCUGUUUUACGAACGAACUCCGAAUUAGAGGACAAAACGGUCCGGAAGUAGGAAAAAAUUGUGGUGGUGGCUAGAAAUUGAUGGAAACAGUGUGAAAAACACACAAACUGGAUUCUAACAAGACCUAACCAGUAACAAGACCUCGACUAGGACACAAACUCAACACUACGAACUCUGAAACUGAAAUAUGCAAAGGCUAUGGCGCAGAUGGGUUGUAGGACAUGAAAACAAUAUGGCACUAGACUUAUGGGAUGAAUAUAAGAACACUCAAAACUAAGGGUAGAUGUGAACCUAACGGUAUGUCUGAAGCUUUGAUUACCACUUAAGGAGAACAAGUGUGGCCCGAUCUUCUGAAAGGUUCUCGUAACUAUCGAUUUGGUGGAAACGAGACACAAAUCAAUACAGCUUGCGAACAACAUGACCCGAAACCCUGCAAUUAUUUUUAUUUUUUUGAUAUUUUUCUUUUACUUAGGAGCACUCAAGAAGUAACCAAAGAAAAUUUGAGCUUAAACAAGUGAAAGACGUUGCCUUGUGGAAUUUUUUGAAGAUUGCGAAAAAUAUGAAAAAAAAUUAGGAGGUGAAAACUCAAACUUUAGAGGUGGUUUUUGGGAUUCUAAAUUUAUCGAACCCGCCUAUGGUGGGGAUAGACAGAUCCAAAAUUUUUUUGUGAUCGAUUUUGAUAUAUGGAACAUCAAAAUCGAAGUUCAUAUGCGAAAGUUAUGGCUGUUUUACGAAAGGACUCCGAAUUAGAGGACAAAACGGUCCAGAAGUGGGAAAAAAUUUUGCGGUGAUGGCUAGAAAAUGAUGGAAACGGUUGGAAAAAACACACAAACUGGACUCUAACAAGACCAUAAUAGUAACAUGAGCUCGACCAGGACACAAACUCAAAACUACGGACUCUAAAACUGAAAAAUGCAAAGGCUAUGGCGCGGAUGGGUUGUAGGACAUGAAAACAAUAUGGCACUAGACUUAUGGGACGAACACAAGAACACCGGGGCGACGUACCAACGGUGCAUGCUCCAUGUUUUCGAAGAUCACAUAGGGUCGACGGUCGAGGCAUACGUCGACGACAUCGUCGUCAAGUCAAAGAGACAAGGUGACCUUAUUCAAGACCUCAAGUUCACCUUUGGCUAUUUGCGCACGAAUAAAAUUAAGCUCAACCCCAAGAAAUGUGUCUUUAGCGUGCCUCGAGGCAUGCUUUUAGGGUAUAUAGUCUCCCAGUGCAGCAUCGAGGCCAACCCUGAAAAGGUCUUCGCUGUCGCCAAGAUGGGACCAAUUCGAGACGUCAAGGGCAUACAGAAAGUUACACGCUGCCUGGCGGCGCUGAGCCGUUUUAUUUCAAGGCUUGGGGGAAAAGGCAUUGCCAUUGUACCGGCUCCUGAAGAUAGUCAAGCGCUUCACCUAGACGAUCGAGGCUGAGGAAGCCCUCGACAAACUAAAAAGGACUACCGCUCCGAUCCUGGUGCCUCCUCGACCCGCAGAACCUCUGCUUCUGUACGUCGCGGCAACGACCCAGGUCGUUAGCACGGCUGUGGUGGUCGAAAGGCCAGAGGAAGGGCAUGCACUACCAAUUUAGCUGCCGGUCUGCUUCAUCAGUGAGGUGCUCUCAGAGACCAAGGUACGAUACCCCCAGGUUCAAAAAUUGAUUUAUGCUGUGAUUCUCGCCCGACGCAAGCUGCAACACUACUUUCUUGGCCAUCCGAUCACGGUGGUCUCGUUCGACGCCUCGAUGUUCGAGGUGACUCUCAGCUGGUCAUCGAUCAAGUCAUGAAAGCCUUGAGUUGCCAUGACCCAAAAAUGGAGGCUUACUGCAAGGAAGUACGCAAGCUUGAGGACAAGUUCCAUGGGCUCGAGCUCAUUCACAUCGCACGGCGAUACAACGAAACGACUAACGAGCUUGCCCAGAUCGCGUCCACUCGAGGCACUGUCCCACCAGACACAUUCUCAAAGGACCUGCUUAAACCAUUUGUCGACCUAGGCUCGGGGGCUAGCAUCGAAACCUCCACCGCCGAGCCCACUGACACAAUCGAGGCUCUACUGACGGCAGCAAAGGUAAUGGAGGUCGAGCAAACUCCUCAACACCCCGGUCGACCAUUUAACUGGUGCACGCCUUUCCUCGACUGCCUGAUUCGGGGCGAUUUACCAGAAGAUCAAGCUGAGGCCCGUCGUAUCGCUCGAUGGGCCAAAUCAUGCAUGAUCUAUGGCGAAAGCAAAGAGCUCUACCGAUGAAGCCCAACCGGGAUCUUGUAGCGCUGCAUCACUAUAGAGGAAGGUCGAAAGCUCCUCGAAGAUCUACACUCGGGGGCUUGCAGCCACCAUGCAGCUCCUGGAACCCUCGUAGGCAACGCCUUCCGACAAGGCCUCUACUGGCCAACGGCCGUCGCUGAUUCCAUCGAGCUUGUUCGCUCAUGCCAUGGGUGCCAAUUCUACACCAGCAAACUCAUCUCCCCGCUCACGCUCUACACAUGAUUCCCAUCACUUGGACGUUCGCGGUAUGGGGCCUCGACCUCAUGGGUCCACUCCAAAGGGCGGUGGGAGGAUACACCCACCUGUUGGUGGCCAUCCACAAGUUCUCCAAAUGGAUUGAUGCUCAACCCAUCACAAACAUUUGUUCCGAGCAGGCUAUCCUCUUCUUCACCGACAUAAUCCACCGGAUUGGGAUACCCAACGUCAUCAUCACCGACAAUGGCACACAGUUCACCGACAAAAAGUUCCUGUACUUCUGUGACCGACAUCACAUCCGUGUGAACUGGUUUAUAGUAGCUCACCCUCGGACCAACGGCCAGGUCGAACGUGCCAACGACAUGAUUUUGCAAGGGCUCAAACGCAGAAUCUACAACCGGUUGAAGAAGUUCGGCAAGAAAUGGGUCGAGGAGCUCUCUUUGGUCCUAUGGAGUCUAAGAACAACACUGAGCAGAGCCACGAAAUACACCCCAUUCUUCAUGGUCUAUGGCUCCGAGGCUGUGCUUCCAACAGACCUCGAGUAUGGGUCACCUCGACUCAAAGCCUACAACGAGCAGACAAAUAGGGAGACUCGAGAGAAUGCGGUCGACCAGCUCGAGGACGCUCGAGACAUGGCCCUCCUCAACUCGGCAAGGUACCAGCAGAAGCUUCGACGCUACCACGACAAGCACGUGCGCAUGAGAGGCCUGAACAUGGGCGACCUUGUCCUACGUCAACGGCAGAGCAAUUAAGGAUGCCACAAGCUGACUCCACCCUAGGAGGGCCCAUACAUGGUGGCUGAGGUCUUGAAGCGAGGAACGUACAAGCUCGCGGACGAAAAGGGGGCGAUCUACACCAACGCAUGGAAUAUCGAACAACUACGUCUCUUCUACCCCUAGAGCUUCGAGGCUUUACAUUUUCUUGCACAUCUUGUAUGACCGAUGCCCUGUGAAUAAAUAUGUGAAUAAACGAAAGUACUUUUAUGAGUAAUUCAUAUUAUUACCGGUUAAUCCCGAUGUUAGAGGAAGUCUUGACUAUGACCCAUCAUAGUCAACACUCCCUCGGGGCUAGCAGGGGGAAACCCCCCAGGCUUAAUGUUCUCUUUUCCCUUUCAAACCCUAAGAAAACUUAAUGUUCUCUUUCAAACUUAAUUUUUCAAAAGCUUAAUGUUCUCUUUUCCCUUUCAAACCCUAAGAAAACCCCACACGAUCGAGUAGUAAAGGCGCCUCGAGCCCCUUAAGGGCCGAGGGACGUCGAGCCUGAUAACUCCUACUCCUCCGGGCUAUGGUAACUCUAAUCACACCCUUACCCUCGAGGCAAUCGAAGUCGUCCGAAUGAAAGAUCGAUCGAGGAAGAUGAACUUAGGCAGCAAAGGAAAUAAAGGAAACUCGAGCAUAAAAGUAACAAGAAUAUAUAGAAACUACAAAUCUUAAGGCCGCUCAGGCCAUAAUGUUUAAAGCUAAGUAUAUUACAAUGGGUCUAAGUACCCAGAUCAGGCUCGCAGGCCUUAGUGUUCAUCUCUACCUUCACCGUUGUCUUCCGCGCCCACACCGGUCUCGGGAGAGAGUACCUCUGGCUCGAAUAGCUUCGCCAGCCUUUCACCAGGAACCUCUGCAUCGUCGAUCAAGGCAUGAAGCCUCUCCUCGUUCUCAGCAUCGGUCUUGCAGAUGUCGGUGAUGAAACUGUGGGACACCACCUCCAUAUCAUAGGAGAAGCCCGAGCAGACAACCGCCAUAGCCCGCUUCACCCCAGUAUGGAGUGCGUCCUGCACUCAGUCCUUCAAGGUGGCACCGAGGUAGCACAGCUGGUCGACCAAGGUGUCGCAUCGAGCCGCCUCCCCCGCCUUAUCUAUAGGCUCAAGCUCCCAAGAGGUCGAGAGGUCGUUGAUCGCCGUCCUUAGUCGACCAGUCAAGGCGACCUCCCUCUCAAGCUGAGCCUUAGAAGAUUGGGCGUCGACCUGGGCAGCCAGCAGAUCAUCCUUAAGCCCUAUAGAGAUCAAAAUAGGGGAUCAGAUAACGGAAAAGAAAACGAGAUCCAACAAAUAAAACACAACGAUAUGGAAGACUUACCGUGGAUCUUCUCCUCAAGAGCCAUAUUUUCACCAACCAGGUCGGUGUUGGUCCUCUCGAUCUUCUUAAAGGAAUGGGCCAGCUCCGUCUUCUCGACCCGUAGGUCCUCGAUUAGCUUGCCCGACCCUAGGAUAGCUUCUUCUUUCUCUAGCAGCGCUUUCUUUAGACGAUCAAUGUCGUUAGAAAGGCCGCGAGAGCGGGUUCGCUCUGCCUCGAGGUCCUCAUGAGCCUUCCUCUUGGCCUCCUCUAUGGUGCCUCGAGCGAUUUCACUCUUCAGGAGUGCCUCCUUUACCCUGCCAUAAGCGCUUCGUGCGGCGGCAAGGUCUGACUCGACGAGCCUCUUUCCUUUGUCCAGCUCGAUGGCCUUGUCCUUAUACCGCGCAGCCUCCUCCCAGGCCUUGGCAGCCGCCUCCCCGGCCGAGACAGCCAGCUCCUUCGACUGGGCUGCUUCAUCCUUCACCUUCUCCACAGCCUCUCGAGCAACGCGGGCGACCUCCUCUGCCUGGGAAACCUUACUGUCCAUAUUAGACAAGGUCUUCCGAGCAUCGGUCAGAGCGGCCUCCUUCUCCUUCUUCUCCUCCAGAGCCGUUGUAAGAUCCUUAUAUGCCUUAAGGAGCUUUUCUUGCAACUCGAGGAGUUGAUCCUUGAGAAGAGGGAGCUGCUCUCAACCACCCCUCGUCGCAUGAAUGAAGCCCGAUUUCAGCCGGGAGGUCUCUUUCAAGUCCUGCAAUAAAACACGAGGUGAUAAGAGCCCUAGUUCAAUGAAAAUUCCAAGUAACGAGAGUCUAGAGAUCCUCACAAAGAAAUCCUGGCCUAGGCUGUUGUUGAUGAUGUCAGACAUGAGGCCCACGACAUGCUUCAUCCAGAGACAAAGCUCUUCGAGGUGCUCCCACUUCUCUACCUCCUUCCGAUCGUCCAUCAUGUUAUUGGGCUCGUUCGGAGACGUGGAGGCUCAAAGGCAGAUCCUUCCUGGACCACAGUGCUCGAGCUCUUCCUCCGUGCGUGCCUUGAUGCCCCGGAUAAGCUCUUGCACCAUUUCAAGUGAGCCCCCAUGGCGUAGAAACAAAUCGAUAAGAGAGGGGAAUCGCCCAUUAUCAUCGAUGGACUUCCAGGUCCCGGUCUCAUCUGCCUCGCUGCCGCCAGAAGUCCUAGCUUCAUCUUCCCCACUGGCGCCAGAGGUUCCAGCCACAUCUUCCCAUGGUCACCGACCCUCUAGGAAGGCCGGGGCGAUCCCCUUGAUGCCGUAGAGGGAGCCCUUAAUCUCCGAGCUUGGAUCUGUCGGCGUGCGCAUGGCGAGCGCCAGCGCCAUGAGACCGUCCUCCUGUCGUGGCUCAGCUAGGAUGGUGACAGGGCCCCCAGGACGAAGCCACGAGGGAGUCGCGGGACCGUAAACUGGUGGCUCCUCCUCCCCUGUCUCGGGCCUCUGCCCCUCCUCGAGCUGCUGCUGCUGCGGGUGCUGUGGUUGCUGUUGCUCGGGGAACUCCUCCAACUGUCGCUGCUACAGUUGAAGCUCCUACAGCUCUUGCUGUCAGUGCUGCUCUAGCUGUUCCUCGAGCUGCAAAUGCUCCCCCUGCUGCUCCUGCGCCUCUUGCUGUUGUUGCUGUUGCUGCUCCAAUAGGCGUCGCUGCUCCCCCUCUUCCUCCUGUUUUUUCUUUUCCUCUUCCCUCCUCUUCUAUUGCUCCUCCCUGUUCUUCCUCUUCUUUGUAACACCCUAGGUGUUAACCAUGCACUUAGUCUCAUAAACCCUCUCAUAAGCAUUCUCAUCAAGCAUAGCAUAAGCAUAGCAUCACAUGAGCAUGGCAUUAAUUCAAGUGUGAUUUUAUGUGCUUAAAUUAUAUGAUAAAAAUGGUAUGCUUGUUUCCAAAAUUCUUGUGAUGACCAAAAUAUGUUGAAAUAUAUUUUAGAAUAAUUAAGAAUAAUUUUGUGAACUUUUUUGGAGCUAUAGAAAUUGAGAAAUGGAUUUUAUACAAAAAGUCCCAAAAUGAAUUUAUUUAAAACCUAGAACUAGUUUUGAGUUGUAUUUCAAAUUCUAUUGGGAAUUUGGAAUUUCAGGCUGAAACAAAGUUGUAGAACUUUUUAUUUGUGACAAAUUUUGUUUUGGGGGCCAAAGCUGAAAAAGGUUUUAAAUUUGUGAAGAUGAGUUUGGAAAAUUAUUGGAGAAAAGAAAUUCAAAAAAAAGGGGAGGGGGUAGGCGCGUGGCCCAGCUCAGCCGCGUGGCCCAGCUCCCCCGCCCCUCUCCCGCGCGCGGACGCGUCCGCUUCGCUCCACCCGGCGCUGGCCACGUGGCGACCGUACGCUCAGCCACGUGGCGUCGUGGACACGGUCGGGACGCCACCCCGCGCCUCCAGACGCCCACUCUGUCCCCUCCCCGCUCCCUCUCCUUCUCCACUCGCGAGCGCAGCAGCAGCAGCGACCGCUGCGGCGCCAUUGCUGGCCCAACUCCGCCACUCGCCGCCGGCCAUGUCAGUGAGCCAUUGUCCACGCCAAGGCCAACGACGUGUUCGUCUUCGCCGCGGUAAGCCCCUGCGCACGCUCUACCGAGGUGAAAGCCAUCAGCGAGCCCGCAAUCACCCGUCGGAGUUCACCCGACCUCGUCGGAGUGCUCCGCCGCGCCGAAACCCUCCCGUUUCUGCCUCGUUUCGCUUGUUCUUGAGUGUGUUAGGUUCGGGACGUGGUGAGGAAGCUCAGACGAUCCCCCGCACGCGCUCUACCCCGCCGGAGUGGUCUAGCCAUGGCGAGCAGCGCCGCCGUGCCGCCAUGCAAGCCAGCAGGGGUGCUCCGGCCGUCCUCCAACCAAACCAAGGGUACCCUUGGGUGCGCCUCGCUGUGCUCACCCCGUGGCCGGAGACCUCACCGCCGACGAGAUCCGCUCGUCGGAGGUGCUCUCCCUCUCGGUCACAUUGACCAGUGGGGUCGGGGGCCCACUGUCAGCUGCAAGGGGACCGAGGCGGGUAGAGACCUGGGUGCUCCUAGCGUUUUUCAGUGCGGAAUUGAUAUGGAUUUACAGAAAAUGUUUUCCAGAAAAUGAUUUAAAUGGUAUUAAAUCUAUAUCUUGAGAUGCAUAGCUCCAAAAUUGGUGAAAUAAAUUUUGAUGUGCUCUAUAAUUCUAGAUCUACAGUUUGGUACGGUUGCAUGUCAUAUUUGUACAACUUUUCUGUACAAAUGUAUUUAAUCCAUGUUUUUGCUGAUAAUUAGAAAAUGCAUAGUAAUUAAAAUAUAACUCAGAAAAAUAUGAAACUUGUUUUCUUAGCUCUGCAUGGAUGUUUAGUUUCUAGGAAAAAUAUGUCACAUAUUAUUUGCUGUAUAAAUUAAUUUAUAAUUAUUUAAAUGCUUGCAUGGCAAUGGUUUAUGAUUUUUUAUAAAUAAUUGGAUCAUGCAAUUAAUCUGGAAAUUUUUGUGGGUGUUUCUUAUUAUAGUAAGUAAUUUAUAAAAAUAUGAAAUAUGUUGUUUGACACUUCAUCAUCAGUGGGGUAAUUAUACCUACUAUAUAAAAUAAACUUGUGUUUUUGUGUGGGCUAAACUAUCUGUCCAAAUAUUAUGAAAAAUUUGUGGUAGACUUUAUAUUUGACUAGUGCUCCACUAUAAUUUUUGUGGAAUUUAUUGAUGACCAGAAGUACAUGCUACUGUUGUAGGUCCAAUAAUAAUUAAAUAAAUUAUACCUUGUUGUGUAUGAGAUAAAUAGAUUAAAGGGUGUUUGGUUUAUCUUUGAAGCAUCAUGGUAGCUUGCUGGUUAACCAUGAAAACAACUUGUAGAAGAGAAUGCAAUAGAUGCUUAUUUUGUUUGCAAGUCCUUGGAUGAUGUUGACUACCUUGAAGAAAUAAUCACCUAUGUCGUCUAUGCACCAUGUCAUGAUCACCCUGUCUUCACUUGCAUAAGCAUUGCAAAAGCAUUGCACCCCGGGCAUCUCGCACUCCACUCAUGAGCACACAUGCAUCAUACAGGCUCGCAGGAGAACGAGGUGGGACCCGAGGAGCAGGAGGAGACCCAGGAGUAGGAACUUCCGGGAGGACCAGAGCCGGAAGGAGAGCUGCAGGAGUGCCCGGACCACAGGCCUAGCACAAGAAAGGCAAGCCCCAGAGCAUUCUAAGUCUCCCUAUUCUCGCUAACUUAAUUAAUCUACUAUGGUUGUUCUACUAUGCUGCAUUUAAGUGAUAGGAAUCGCUUGAUACCGUUGAUGCAUAUUUACUCCUUGAUAUCACCACCUGUUUAUCUACCUUGUCCUAUGUAGAUAGGCUCGGAGUCUAUGCUUAGCUUGCUUAGUGUGGUAGAAGUCGGGUGAUUUCCUAUCACCUGCGAGAUAUAGGUGGACACCUGAAAGUUAGCUGUCAAUGCUAUGAUGAAAAAUAACCAAGUGUGGGAAUGAACUUAAGACCGGGCAGGGUCUUAUGGUGUUGUUAGCCGUAGUGCCCCUGCCUGUAUCGAUUAAGGACCGCUCGUUGAUGGCCCACUUGUCAUGUUGAACGCAUGCCCCACACUUAGCUGGAAGGAUAAGUCGUUCCGACCGCGAAGCCUGAACACUAUCCGGGCCAGGAGUCAAGCCACCAUGCGCUGUAUUGGUGAUGGUUGAGGAGAACGACGAGGGCACAACACGCAACCUGCUGGGUAUUUUAAACGCAAACAGAAAAAUUCGUAAGCGCACGGAUACCGAUGUAGCUUUCACCCGGGAGUAUUCCAGAGUAUCGAUUUUCCACAGAGAACGUGAGUGUACUAAUUAAGAAUCAAGAUCGCCCAAGGAUAACUAUAUAAUUAUUUUUGGUGGGAAGUGAGGAAGUUUCGUGAGAGUUCUCUAGUUGAUCUAAGAAUCAAGAAUUACUUCAAAGAUUAUUUAUAUCGGGACAUCAGAGCACUAACCACAGAAAGAGAUGAGAAGGGGGCUAGGAAGGUCUGACUACGGUCCUACAAACACCGAUCCGAACGAGGUGGAAUAUGUCGACCGUUAGGGUUGUCACUACCCUAGGGCUACCACAACAAUCCGCAGGAUUGGGUGCAAUUCCACGUAAUUGCAAGACUAAACACCACGUCGAAUCUAUUAAUUACUACUCUAAUAUUUCAAAGAUUAGAGCACUUGAUGCAAGCGGAAAUCCAAUAAAUAACUUGAAUGUAAAUAAAAGUAAUUAAAGAACUCAGGAAUUAUGAAUUGAAGAACCUGGAGAACGAUGAAGAACGAACCAGUUGCUGCAAAAGUACAAUGUUGAGGAAGAUUCGACAGAUCCGGCUCCUCCUCCGCUCUCCUCUUCUCUCUCCCUAUUUUCUAGAUUACAACUAGAACUAACUAGAACUAGAACUAGAACAAGAACUAGAUGAACUAGAACUAGAUCUAGAUGAAGUAGAUGUAGAACUAGAAGAACUAGAGGGAUCCUCUCUACUUGGAUGAAGAAUUGAAACCCUAACUUUGAUUCUGUAGAAGAGGUAUGAUCUCCAGGGGCCAGGGGGUCUGGUUUUAUAGUCCCUUCAAGUGAAUACUUUGAUUCUGUAGAAGAGGUAUGAUCUCCAGGGGCCAGGGGGUCUGGUUUUAUAGUCCCUUCAAGUGAAUAUGGGCCGUUGGAUCAAACCGACAUUGAUUGAACGGUUAUCCUUGAUCCUUUAGGUCGGUCGAGAUUGAUCCCGAAAGAGAGUCCUGUUUGGACUCUAGGAGGGGGCGGGCGCCCAGGUCAACUGGGCGGGCGCCCAGUGCCUGGCCCCGUUCGGCCUCCACUUCCUUCUCGUGGCUUCUGGAGUCUUCUAGAUGGCAGAAAAUUGCGCGGCACGUUAGUAUCUCUAUGUAAUCCCGACGUGUGGGCCUUUCUUCCGUAUUUCCAGAUAACCCCUGCAGAAAUAAACAAACACCAAAACUCGUGGAAUUCUGUCAGAUAAAACCCUAAGUCUAGGUGUUGGUUGCAUUUGGAUCCUUUUCUAUGAUUAGUUGAUGGUUAAAUGGGAGCAUUAAGGACCGUCAACAAGCUCCCCCAAGCUUAACCUUUGCUCGUCCCUGAGCAAAGAUGAACUGAUGAGUUUCUGCAGUGGUUUUAUGUCUUAAAGAUAUACAUGCGUUCAAACAAGAUCUCAUCUCUAGGUUAGGGUAAACUGUUAAGAUUUAAACUUACUCAGUGUACCUUCCACCAUGGGGCUUGCAACCGUUACUUGUGUCUUGAGCAGUUAAAAGAUAGAACGGUCUAGUCAAGCGCCAUGUCUCUUGUUCUUUGAUUAACUAUAACUCUAGAGUUUUUGCAGAUUUUCAAAUAAAACUCAGAGAUUCCUUGUAUGACUCUCUCUAGUCUCUCUUUUGUGGUAUUUCUAGAUCCUUUCCAACGCAGUAAUGAUAUAUGCCUUCUCUGAAAGUAUGUAGUAUUUGUGGUAUGAGGCAUAGUGACAUUGCCUUCUCUCUCACCCUACUCUAAUAAGGCUUUUGAUAUGUGGAGCUCAUAGGUGGGAGAGAGCUAAUAUAUACUUACAAGACAUUUAUUGCAUAGUCAAACCAUGGAUCCAGAAGAACAACUCAAUAAGUCAAAUCAAGAUGUGCAUGUGUGGCGAAUGAAUGGUGUAUGGUGAUGAUGGUGAUAAUGGUGAAAACAAUGGUGAAAGUCUAAUUCUACUUUUGCUCUUUUGUGGGGAUGUAUACCUUCCUUGCUCUUUUGAAACUUUUGGGGAGAAUGAGAUGCUCUGUAUUUUCUUUUUCUUUCCUCUUAGGUGGGUAUCUUGUACCCCUAAUUCUACUGUCGGACACUUGUCCAUUUUUACCUCUCGUCUCACUUUUUUUUUCUUUUCUUUCGAGGUUCCAGGCACUUGCCCCUUUUUAUUUCCUCGUAUCCUUUUUUCUCUCUUUUUUAGAGCACUCAUCUCUUGAAAUAAUGUAGCAAGUGGUAGUAACCAAGAUAACUUGAGCAUUAUUUCACAGGGAAAAAUAGAAAUAUUUUUGGCUAUUCUCUCCCGGAUUAGGAGUAGAAUACUUUUGGGUGGUUCUGGAGAUGGAAAUGGAUGGAUAUAUGUGGAUGUGUACUUCCGAAGUAGAAGCAGCAUGUAUGAGUGAACGUGCAAGUGAAUCUUGAUUUUAACCACAUGACAAGCUCCUAAGGGUCUACACAGCUUGACCACACUCAAUGCUCAUAAGUAGUAAAAAGUAAAUGUGUGGCUCAAAGUCUAGCAAGCAUGUAUAUAUGGCUGUGGUAGGAAUUUAAACUCUCAUCAUACAGGAACUCAUCAUGCAACAUUUUAAAGAUUUUCAAAGAUAAAAUUCUCUAGAAUUCUAGCAUCUCUAGGAACAGAUAAACAGCAGCUCAACCUUCCCAUAUCGUAUCCGUUAACGUCUUAGACUUUAGAUCAAGUACUCUUCCCACAAGUUCAGGUUUAGAGCAAAUCUUAAUUAAUAACAGUCAUGCCUAAACUUGAGAGAGAUUUCAAUUUUGAGAACUAGUCAUGGCAGAGCAACUAUUCAUCAUUUCCAUGUGAGAGCUUAUCGUGUUGGUUCAUAGCAAACUUUAUUUAUUUAUUUAUUUAGCAAACUAAGCAAAGAUAUAUAUAUAUAUAUAUAUAUAAGAACAAAAUCUUUAUUUAGGUUUUUAUGAUUAUGCAUCUUUUUAUUAUUUAAGUAAAGUAUAAAUAUGAGUAGAAUACUUAGCUGGAUAAAUGGAGGUGCUCUCCCCCAAGCUGGAUUUUGACGUAGUUUCUCCUGAUGUAGCUAGCAGGUGGCGGAGGUGUAUUUGAAUGUCGGCAGCACUCUAACAGCGAUUAGGAUGUCCUCCGUCUACCAGUCUUCUUUGAUCCUUGAAUUCUGUGGAGCUCAAAUAGACAACAAAACUUUGUGGAACUAGUUAAGUGUUAGCAUAAAUAUUUAGCCUUUAUCCUGUCGAGCCUCCUCAAUAAAUGUUACACUCUUUUGUAGGAUCAUAAAUUUAUUUUUGUAAUUUUAUUUUUAUAGGACAGGAAUAUAUUUAUUUCAUUUUUACGCCACCACAGUGAAUGUACUUAUGGGUUUUAUGCCAUUAGCAUACUCACAUGGGGCUUACUAUUUUAACAUUUUUUUUUUCAAGAUGAUAUGAACCUGAUUAACUAAGCAAACUAUUUUAAGUAAUUGAAAGAAAAAAAAAGAUAACUACCAAGUUUACCUCUUGGCAAGGCGUUCGGUGUUUUUAAGUCCUCCGAACGGGACUCUCCAUUUUCUCAGUCGUCCUGGGAUUUGCUGGAUGGCGUAGUCGGUGGUUCCAGCGGCGCCUGGUCUUCAUGUAUAACUAUCUUCUCUCUCCACAUCUGACUCGGUGCUACGGUCUCCUCAGGAUAGUUUUGUUCAAGUUGUAUGUCUUCAGACCUUACAACUUCUCCUUCAUAGUCUGCCCAACUGUCCUUGAUGAUUUGCCUCCUCUGGUUGUGGUUGCGUCGUCUUCUUCUUGUCCUGACCUGCUUAGAGUCUUUAACUAUAUAGUUAGAGUGAGUAAAAUAGCGGCGUACCUUCUCAGAGGGGAAAUGCAUGUGGACUUCUCUGGUUCCAAUGUAGAUGAUUGCUUUAACGGUGUUGAGGAAUGGUCUUCCAAAGAUGACGGGUGGAUAUAAUUCGUCUUCUCCCAUGUCAAUAACCUUAAAAUCAUCUGGAGCUGAAUGUAUGUUGGUUGUAGGGGCAUGGUUCCAUGCAGGAGCUGAUAAGUGACUGCGGCCAUUAUGUUGACGUCAGAUCCAGUGUCGUAGAGUGUCUUCUGAAAAGAAUAUCCGUUGAUUGUGCAUUCAAUGCUUGGAACACCUGGGUCGUCCUUUUUUGUCAGGAAUGGUGACUUAAAUCGACAAUCUUGACCUCCUUGAACUGCAGUGACCAUCUUAGCUAACUUGGUCCACAUUUGCUUGUUCCUGUCCCUCCUGUUGGUCCUCUUCCUUGGUUCAUGUCGGGAAUGCUUUGAGAUUUGUGUAGUCUUGUUCUCGAAGGAAAACGUCUCCUUCCUCCCCUUGAUGUAGAAACUGAUCUUGGCAGCACUAGCAUAGAUGACAGCUCCUGAGGUGUUCAGGAAUGGCCUCCAUAGGAUGAUGGGUGCCCUCCCAUUAGUACCAGUCUCUAUCACCACGAAGUCUGUUGGGGCGUACAAGGUACCAACUCAGACACAGAGGCUCUUCAUUACUCCCUUUGGGAAACUUAGCGUACGAUCUGCAAGCUGCAAACACAUGGCUGUCUAAUAAAGGAUGUGUAAAGAAUUUUUCAUAGAGUACCCUAAGCAUAAUGUUGAGGCUGGAGCCAAAGUCGCAGAGUGCUUCUGGGAAGUCCACUAUGCCGACGGAGAUCGGGAUGACGGGGCGUCCUGGAUUGUCUCUGAGUAGUUUGGCCUCUGUUAAUUCCAACCUUGAUUUUGUCGAGGACGGUUGUAGUAGUAGUUGUUGUUGAAGUAGUUUACGUUCUCAAGCAUCUCAGGGCAGUGAUUGCCUGAGUGUCCAGUAUCUCCAGUGUGUUUUGCUCGUAGAUCUAGAUUCUUCACUUGGUGGAGUCUGGGAGUUGUAAAAUUCCUUCAUAUUUUGCUCGAAGUGUACCUGCUCAUUGUUGGGUAUUUUAAACGCAGAUAGAAAAAUCCGCAAGCGCACGGAUACCGAUGUAGCUUUCACCCGGGAGUAUUCCAGAGUAUCGAUUUUCCACAAAGAACAUGAGUGUACUAAUUAAGAUCCAAGAUCGCCCAAGGAUAACUAUAUAAUUAUUUUUGGUGGGAAGAGAGGAAGUUUCCUGAGAGUUCUCUAGUUGAUCUAAGAAUCAAGAAUUACUUCAAGAUUAUCUAUUUCGGGACAUCAGAACACUAACCAAAGAAAGAGAUGAGAAGGGGGUUAGGAAGCUCCGACUACGGUCCUACAAACACCGAUCCAAACGAGGUGGAAUACGUCGACCGUUAGGGCUAUCACUACCCUAAGGCUACCACAACAAUCCGCAGGAUUGGGUGCAAUUCCAGGUAAUUGCAAGACUAAACACGACGUCUAAUCUAUUAAUUACUACUCUAGCGUUAUAAAGACUAGAGCACUUGAUGCAAGCGAGAAUCCAAUAAAUAACUUGAAUGUAAAUAAAAGUAAUUAAAGAACUCAGGAAUUAUGAAUUGAAGAACUUGGAGAAUGAUGAAGAACGAACCAGUUCCUACAAAAGUAUAAUGUUGAGGAAGAUCCGACAGAUCCGGCUCCUCCUCCGCUCUCCUCUUCUCUCUCCCUAUUUUCUAGAUUACAACUAGAACUGACUAGAACUAGAACUAGAGGAACUAAAACUAGAACUAGAUGAACUAGAACUAGAUCUAGAUGAACUAGAGGUAGAACUAGAAGAACUAGAGGGAUCCUCUCUACUUGGAUGAAGAAUUGAAACCCUAACUUUGAUUCUGUAGAAGAGGUAUGAUCUCUAGGGGCCAGGAGGUCUGGUUUUAUAGUCCCUUCAAGUGAAUAUAGGCCAUUGGAUCAAACCGACAUUGAUUGAACGGUUAUCCUUGAUCCUUUAGGUCGGUGGAGCAAUAUCCCGAAAGAGAGUCCUGAUUGGACUCUGGUUGAGGGCGGGCGCCCAGGAAAGGAGGGCGGGCACCCUGUCCCUGAGUCCUCUCGGCCUCCGCUUCGGUCCCGUGGCUUCUGGAGUCUUCUAGAUGAUAGAAAAUUGCGCAGCACAUUAAUAUCUCUAUGUAAACUCGACGUGUGGUCCUUUCUUCCGUAUUUCCUGAAAACCCCCUGCAGAAAUAGACAAACACCAAAACUCGUGGAAUUCUGUAAGAUAAAACCCUAAGUCUAGGUGUUGGUUGCAUUUGGAUCCUUUUCCAUGAUUAGUUGAUGGUUAAAUAUGAGCAUUAAGGACCGUCAACAAGCUCCCCCAAGCUUAACCUUUGCUCGUCCCUGAGCAAAGAUGAACUCAAGAGUUUCUGCAGUGGUUUCAUGCUUUAACGAUACACAUGCGUUCAAACAAGAUCUCAUCUCUAGGUUAGGGUAAACUGUUAAGAUUUAAACUUUCUCAUUUUUCCUUUCACCAUGGGGCUUGCAACCGUCACUUAUGUCUUGAGCAGUUAAAAGAUAGAAUGGUCUAGUCAAGCGCCAUGUCUCUUGUUCUUCGAUUAACUAUAGCUCUGGAGUUUUUGCAGACUUCCAAAAAAACUCAGAGAUUCAUUGUAUGACUCUCUCUAGUCUCUCAUUUGUGGUAUUUCUAGAUCCUUACCAAGGCAGUAAUAGUGUAUGCCUUCUCUUAAGUAUGUGGUAUUUUUGGUAUGAGGCAUAGUGGCAUUGCCUUCUCUCUCACCCUACUCUAAUAAGGCUUUUGAUAUCUGGAGCUCAUAGGUGGGAGACAGCUAAUACAUACUUACAAGACAUUUAUUGCAUAGUCAAACCAUGGAUCCAGAGAAACAAGUCAAUAAGUCAAAUCAAGAUGUGCAUGUGUUGCGAAUGAAUGGUGUAUGGUGAUGAUGGUGAUAACAAUGGUGAAAGUCUAAUUCUACUUUUGCUCUUUUGAGACAAUACAUACCUUUCUUGCUCUUUUGAAACUUUUUGAGGAGAAUGAGAUGCUCUAUAUUUUCUCUUUUUUUUCUUUCAGGUGGGUAUCUUGUACCCCUAAUUCUACUAUCGGACACUUGUCCAUUUUUACCUCUCGUCUCACUUUUUUUUUUGAGGUUCCGGGCACUUGCCCCUUUUUAUUUCCUCGUAUCUUUUUUUCUGUUUUUUUUGGAGCACUCAUCUCUUAAAAUAAUGUAGCAAGUGGUAGUAACCAAGAUAACUUGAGCAUUUAUUUCACAGGGAAAAACAGAAAUGUUUUUGGCUAUUCUCUCCCGGAUUAGGAGUAGAAUAUUUUUAGGUGAUUCUGGAUAUGGAAAUGGGUGGAUAUAUGUGGAUGCGUACUUCCGGAGUAGAAGCAGCAUGUGUGAAUGAACGUGUAAGUGAAUCUUGAUUUUAACCACAUGACAAGCUGCUAAGGGUCUACACAGCUUGACCACACUCAAUGCUCAUAAGCAGUAAAAUGUAAAUGUGUGGCUCAAAGUCUAGCAAGCAUGUAUAAAUGGCUGUGGUAGGAAUUUAAACUCUCAUCAUACAGGAACUCAUCAUGUAACAUUUUAAAGAUUUUCAAAGAUAAAAUUCUCCAGAAUUCUAGCAUCUCUAGGAACAGAUAAACAGCAGCUCAACCUUCCCAUAUCAUAUCCGUUAACGACUUAGACUUUAGAUCAAGUACUCUUCCCACAAGUUUAGGUUUAGAGCAAAUCUUAAUUAAUAACAGUCAUGCCUAAACUUGAGAGAGAUUUCAAUUUUGAGAACUAGUCAUGGUAGAGCAACUAUUCAUUAUUUCCAUGUGAGAGCUUAUCAUGAGGGUUCAUAGCAAACUUUAUUUAUUUAUUUAUUUAGCAAACUAAGCAAAUAUAUAUAUAUGAGAACAAAAUUUUUAUUUGGGUUUUUAUGAUUAUGCAUCUUUUUAUGAUUUGAGUAAAGUAUAAACAUGAGAAGAACACUUAGCUGGAUAAAUGGGGUUGCUCUCCCCCAAGCUGGAUUUUGAUGUAAUUUCUUCUGAUGUAGCUAGCUGGUGGCGGAGGUGUAUUUGAAUGUCGGCAGCACCCUGACAGUGAUUAGGAUGUUCUCCGUCUGCUAGUCUUCUUUGAUCCUUGAAUUCUGUGGAGCUCAAAUAGACAACAAAGCUUUGUGGAACUGGUUAAGUGUUAGCAUAAAUAUCUAGCCUUUAUCAUGUUGAGCUUCCUCAAUAAAUGUUACUCUCUUUAGAAGGAUCAUAAAUUGAUUUUUAUAUUUUUAUUUUUUUAUAGGACUGGAAUAUAUUUAUUUUAUUUUUACGCCACCACAGUGAAUGUACUUAUGGGUUUUAUGCCAUGAGCAUACUCACAUGGGGCUUACUAUUUUUUAACAUUUUUAUUUUCUUUUCAAUAUGAUAUGAACCUGAUUAACUAAACAAACUAUUUUAAAUAAUUUAAAGGAAAAGGAUAACUACCAAGUUUACCUCUUGGCAAGGCGUUCAGUGUUUUUAAGUCCUCCGAACGGGACUCUCCAUUUUCUCAGUCGUCCUGGGAUUCGCUGGAUGGCGUAGUCAGUGGUUCCGGCGACGCCUCCUCUUCCUGUAUAGUUAUCUUCUCUCUACACACCUGACUCGGUGCUACGGUCUCCUCAGGACAGUUUUGUUCAAGCUGUAUGUCUUUAGACCUUACUACUUCUUCUUCAUAGUCUACCCAUCCGUCCUUGAUGAUUUGCCUUCUCUGAUUGCGGUUGCGUCGUCCUCUUCUUGUCCUGACCUGCUUAGAGUCUUCAACUAUAUAGUUAGGGUUAGUAAAAUAGCGGCGUACCGUCUCAGAGGGGAAGUUCAUGUGGACUUCUCCGGUUCCAAUGUAGAUGAUUGUUUUAACGGUGCUGAGGAACUGUCUCCCAAAGAUGAUGGGUGGAACGUACUCAUCUUCUCCCAUGUCAAUAACCUUAAAAUCCUCUGGAGCUGAAUGUAUGUUGGUUGUAGGGGCAUAGGUUCCAUGCAGGAGCUGAUAAGUGACUGCAGCCAUUAUGUUGACGUCAGAUCCGGUGUCGCAGAGUGUCUUCUGAAAAUAAUAUCCGUUGAAUGCGCACUCGAUGCUUGGAACACCAGGGUCGUCCUUCUUGAUCAAGAAAGGCGACUUGAGUUGACGAUCUUGACCUCCUUGAGCUGUAGUGACCAUCUUAGCUGACUCAGUCCAUAUUUGCUUGUUCCUGUUCCUCCUGUUGGUCCUCUUCCUAGGUUCAUGUCGGGAUUACACUGAGACUUGUGUAGUCUUGUUCUUGAAGGAAAACGUCUCCUUCCUCCCAUUGAUGUAGAAACUGAUCUUAGCAGCACUAUCGUAGAUGACAGCUCCUGAGGUGUUAAGGAAUGGCCUCCCUAGGAUGAUGGGUGCCCUCUCAUCAGUACCAGUCUUUAUUACCAAGAAGUCUGCUGGGGCGUACAAGGUACGAACUUGGACGCAGAGGUUCUUCAAUAUUCCCUUUGGGAAACUUAGUGUCCGAUCUGCAAGCCUGAGCAUAAUGUUGAUGCUGGAGCCAAAGUCGCAGAGUGCUUCUAGGAAGUCCACCAUGCCGAUGGAGAUCGGGAUGACGGGGCGUCCUGGAUCGUCUCUCUUGACCGGCAGAAGGUCAGUAAUUACAUCCACAACGGGGUUACUCCAGUAGUUAUGUCCUCAAGCAUCUUAGGGCAGUGAUUGCCUGAGUGUCCAGUAUCUCCAGUGUGUUUGUGCUCGAGAUCUAGGUUCAUCACUUGGUGGAGUCUGGGAGUUGUAAAAGUCCUUCAUAGUUUGCUUGAAGUGUACCUACUCAUAGAGACAAGGCAGAGAUCAAGUGCAUGGGCUCUGUUGGUGGAAAACACCAACAGAACCAAAAGUGUAUUUAUUCUUCUCUAUCCUUAAGCAUAGUGAGCAAGACAAAGUUGAUGGAUAAUAAGAUCAUGACUGUAGCAUUUAUAACAUUUGUCAGAUCAGAUCGCUCAACCUAAUGGAAAGAUAAUCUAUCUAUACUUAUGUUUUUUUAUAUAUCUUCCAA
RNAcentral lists this long non-coding RNA (30374 nucleotides) under Sorghum bicolor (sorghum). RNAcentral describes it as "long non-coding RNA (SBIC_LNC008344)". Lineage: Eukaryota; Viridiplantae; Streptophyta; Magnoliopsida; Poales; Poaceae. The record is from RNAcentral.